UUAAAUAAAUUUGAUUUGGCCAUCAUUAUAGCCCUUUGUUGUUGUCUUUUGAUGAGGAUUCUAGGAAAUUGGCUUGCUGGCAUGCACGGCUUACCGGCAGGGAGAGCAAACUGGAAUUUGCAAGCACAAGUGUUCCUACCAGAGAUCUAAUUCAAGAAGUUAUGUUCUCCAAUUGAGAGAAGAAAAAAGUUUUUUUUAGGGUUGAGUUUUUUGUGUAUGCCUUUGUUGAUUUCUCUCCAGGUGGGAGCAGGCACAGCAGGCUGGAGGAGAGAUGCAUGUGCUCAUCCCCAGCACACCUGGUUCCCUGCUGAGGUCUGCCUAGGAGCUGCCACUAGGGAAGUCUGCUUGAAAGCUAAUUUUCAACUCCAUCCUUUCAUGUGCUUUACGGGAGAUUAAAAUGAAAUUAGUUCAGGAAGGAUACUGCUCAAGAUCAUUUUAAGAUUUUCCAAAGCUCACCAGCUUGUUGACCUGUAAACCACCUUUAGCUGGACAGAUGAUGAGCCUCAAGACAAGAACAGCGUUUUCUGACCAAGCAAUUCAAUCAUUUAUAUGCCCUUUCCUUCCAAUAAUGUGCUCCCAGGGAAAGUAUCCACCAUACCUGCAGUGCUCUGGCCAAAUUCCAGUUCGGGUAAUUAUGUUCUGCCUGUCUAAACUCUGCCUGGAGUUUCAUUUGGAGGAAGCAUUGUUUGCUCCCUGCUCAUUGUUGUGGGCACACGGAUCAGGUGCUGGGCUCAUCUCUGCAGGGGCUGGCUGGGCUCCAGCCCUGGAUGAAGCGAGAUGCAAGAGCAGAGCAGCUUGUGCUAAAUUUGCAAAGCGUCAGGAGAUCUUUGGAGUGAGAGGUGCUGUGUUAAUGGGAGGUCACCGGUGCUAUCUGGGGUGCAAAUGCAUCCCUGCUCAGAAGCUUUAUGGGGAAAAAAACCCAACCAACCAACCAACCAACAACAACAACAACAACAAAAAAAAACAAAAAAAAAACAAAAAAAAAAAACAGAAAAAGCUCUCUUGA
RNAcentral lists this long non-coding RNA (1006 nucleotides) under Chrysolophus pictus (golden pheasant). Its description in RNAcentral is "lncRNA (ENSCPIG00010014845.1)". The record is from RNAcentral. Lineage: Eukaryota; Metazoa; Chordata; Aves; Galliformes; Phasianidae.